GGAGCGUUUAUCGGAAUUACUGGGCGUAAGCGCACGCAGGCGGUUUGUUAAGUCAGAUGUGAAAUCCCCGGGCUCAACCUGGGAACUGCAUUUGAAACUGGCAAGCUUGAGUCUUGUAGAGGGGGGUAGAAUUCCAGGUGUAGCGGUGAAAUGCGUAGAGAUCUGGAGGAAUACCGGUGGCGAAGGCGGCCCCCUGGACAAAGACUGACGCUCAGGUGCGAAAGCGUGGGGAGCAAACAGGAUUAGAUACCCUGGUAGUCCACGCUGUAAACGAUGUCGACUUGGAGGUUGUUCCCUUGAGGAGUGGCUUCCGGAGCUAACGCGUUAAGUCGACCGCCUGGGGAGUACGGCCGCAAGGUUAAAACUCAAAUGAAUUGACGGGGGCCCGCACAAGCGGUGGAGCAUGUGGUUUAAUUCGAUGCAACGCGAAGAACCUUACCUACUCUUGACAUCCAGAGAACUUACCAGAGAUGCUUUGGUGCCUUCGGGAACUCUGAGACAGGUGCUGCAUGGCUGUCGUCAGCUCGUGUUGUGAAAUGUUGGGUUAAGUCCCGCAACGAGCGCAACCCUUAUCCUUUGUUGCCAGCGAUUCAUGCGGGAACUCCAAGGAAACUGGCAGUGAUUAACUGGAAGAAAGUGGGGAUGACGUCCAGUCAUCCUGGCCCUUACCAAUAAGGCUACCCACGUGCUACCAUGGCAUAUACCAAGAGAAACGACCUCGCGAGAACCAGCGGACCUCAUAAAGUAUGUCGUAAUCCGGAUUGGAAUCUGCCACUCCACUCCAUGAAGUCGGAAUCGCUAGUAAUCGUAGAUCAGAAUGCUACCGGUGAAUACGUUCCCCGGGCCUUGUACACACCGGCCCGUCACACCCAUGGGGAGUGGGGUUGCAAAAGAAAGUAAGGUAGCUUUAACCCUUCCGGGAGGGCGGCUUACCACCUUUGUGAUUCAUGAC
This 952-nucleotide ribosomal RNA is filed under the name Enterobacter sp. GB27. Its description in RNAcentral is "bacterial SSU rRNA". It matches the Rfam family "Bacterial small subunit ribosomal RNA", at positions 535 to 1475 of the family's 1533-position model. Lineage: Bacteria; Pseudomonadati; Pseudomonadota; Gammaproteobacteria; Enterobacterales; Enterobacteriaceae. The record is from RNAcentral.